GGGCGCUUAGCUCAGCUGGUAGAGCGUCGCCUUUACACGGCGAAUGCCGGGGGUUCAAGCCCCUCAGCGCCCACCA
RNAcentral lists this transfer RNA (76 nucleotides) under Candidatus Mailhella merdavium. Its description in RNAcentral is "tRNA-Val". It matches the Rfam family "tRNA". From Rfam's summary of the family: Transfer RNA (tRNA) molecules are approximately 80 nucleotides in length. The record is from RNAcentral. Lineage: Bacteria; Pseudomonadati; Thermodesulfobacteriota; Desulfovibrionia; Desulfovibrionales; Desulfovibrionaceae.